Molecule: ribosomal RNA, 743 nt
Filed under: Leptogium sp.
Lineage: Eukaryota; Fungi; Ascomycota; Lecanoromycetes; Peltigerales; Collemataceae
Description: SSU rRNA
Rfam family: Bacterial small subunit ribosomal RNA
Source: RNAcentral
AAUAGCCUAACGGCUGAACCAGCAACUUGGAAGAAUGUAUAGCUAAGCUAAAUGAUUUUUUUUAUAAAAAACAUAUUCGAUUUAUUCGUAUAAAGUUCUAGGUAGAGUUAUGAUAAUGACAUUAUCUAUCUAUAAGUCUUGACCAACAUGCGUGCCAGCAGUCGCGGCAAGACGCUAAAGACUAGUGUUAUUCAUUUUAAUAGGUUUAAAGGGUACCUAGACGGUAAAUUAAGCCUUAAUAGGAACUAAUUUAACUAGAGUUAAAUGUAAGGGUGCAUUAACGUACUAUUGAGUGUAGAGAUGAAAUUCUGUCAUACCAGAUUGCUGGCACGGGUUUAGGCGAAAGCAUCACUUUAUGUAAUAACUGACGUUGAGGGACGAAGGCUUUGUAUCGCUAAAAGGAUUAGUUACCCUCGUAGUCUAAGCAGACAAUGAUGAAUGUCAUAGGUUAAAUAUUGUUUGGUCUAUAAAUGAAAGUGUAAGCAUUCCACCUCAAGAGUAAUUUGGCAACAUUGGAAUUGAAAUCAUUAGACCGUUUCUGAAACAAGUAGUGAAGUAUGUUGUUUAAUUAGAUAAUCCACAAAGAACCUUACCACAACUUGAAUAUUUUACAAGCGUUGCACGGCUGUCUUCAGUUAAUGUCGUGAGAUUUUGGUUAGUUCCAUAAAAUUAACGUAAACCCUUACUUUAUUUUUUUACAUAAAGUAGUUCGCCGUUAUAUUGGUUAGAUAAAAGGGACUAAG